AAAGACACAAACAGAGGCAGUGAUUUAAAUGCAACUGUGAAACAAGAAAAGCACUCAGAGAGCGCAGUACUUGGCCAAGACUGCUCAGUCGUCGGAUCACUUCCGACAGAUGAAAUUUUUAAUAAAAAUUUACCUUGGGCUGAACACAGUUGUGUGUUGUGCAUGUUUACAUUGUGUACAGAUACCGAAUUGCAUGACGUAAAUGUAAAUGUAGCGAGCACCAGGAAUUGAUGGGACUCGGGCACCCUCACAAUUUAAUCAACUGCCUUCCGACGGAUAAUUCCCGAUAAGCGCCGCGGUCCAUUUUGUUGGCGUGUUGGCGAGGCGAAUGUUAGGAUCGGUUCCUAUAGGAACACCCGACGGGGGACACAUCGGGCGAAAUCACAAGACGAACACUGUUCGCGCAACAUCGUCCGACGCGGGGUGGGGCCGAAUAUUCGGAUCUCAAAAUUAAUAUCCGGAUACCAUCAUCACAACCAGAUAUCUGGAUAUUUGGGUCCAGCCCUAAAGAUCGCAUCACUCUCUUUCGUUAUUCUGGUAUUUAGCAAACGGAGAUCAUUUUGGCAAUCCUCAAUGACCUAAAACAGGAGAAGCGUCAUUUGAUUUGAUGUUAGACAUUGCUAAAAAAAACAAACAAUGUUUUCGUGUCAUUUUAUACAGUGUAAGUAAACUUCUGGUUUCAACUGUCUGAAUUUCUGGAGAAGGAAAAAGGCCUGCAAACUUACGAUCCCCAGAAGUGUUAUUAUCUUCCAAAGAAAACACUGAUCCUUUCCUUCCUGAACACCUGGCUUGAAAAACAAGACUUUUCCUGAGUUACUUAUUGUUAUGACGGAUUCUUGAGAUGUUAUUGAGGAAACACACAGGAAACAAUGAAGACUCAUAUCUCAAAAAAUAUUCACUUAAGAAUAUUUAGUGAGCACUGGAUAAUCAACAAUGCAUGCAUGCAGAUUCUCCUUUGAUCUAGCUCACAACAGUUAUCUAAGUAAAGUCCUGCAUGCAGCUCUUCACAAAGAUGAGAAUGCCUGUCGUAACACUAUACAGAAGUUUUUAAACGGAGAUCUGCGAAUAUCUGAUUGGCCUAAGUUAAGGAAGUUUUGCUGGAUGUCUUCUGUCUUCAUCCUGUAAUCAGAGUACUUGUGUGUGUGUGUGUGUGUGUGUGUGUGUGUGUGUGUGUGUGUGUGUGUGUGUGUGUGUGUGUGUGUGUGUGUGUUCUUGUACUUGCUGCAUUGUGAGGACCAUCUUCAUUUAACUAUCAAAGUGAGGACAUUUUUACAAAGUGAGGACAUUUUGGCCGGUCCUCACUUUGAAACAGCCAUGUUUGAGGGUGAAGACUUGUUUUUAGAGAACAGGUAUGAAUUGAGGUUUGGUUAGGGUUAGGGUAAGGAUUAGGGUUAGGCGAUCAGUUGUGAUGGUUAAGGUUAGGGUAAGGCUCUAGGAAAUGCAUUACGCCUAUGGAUGUCCUCACUAAGAUAGAAGUACAAACAUGUGUGUGUGUGUGUGUGUGUGUGUGUGUGUGUGUGUGUGUGUGUGUGUGUGUGUGUUUUAGGU
Long non-coding RNA from Acanthochromis polyacanthus (spiny chromis), 1548 nucleotides. RefSeq lists it as uncharacterized. NCBI's taxonomy places the organism in Eukaryota, Metazoa, Chordata, Actinopteri, Pomacentridae. The transcript is spliced from 2 exons. The record is from RefSeq and is a predicted model, not a curated record.